GGUCGCGUGGCGAAAUGGCAUCGCGUCUGACUACGAUUUAGCAUCGUUCUCAUCAGGAGAUCGCGGGUUCGACCCCCGUCGUGACCU
This is a transfer RNA of 87 nucleotides. It matches the Rfam family "tRNA". Rfam says of the family: Transfer RNA (tRNA) molecules are approximately 80 nucleotides in length. Their secondary structure includes four short double-helical elements and three loops (D, anti-codon, and T loops). Further hydrogen bonds mediate the characteristic L-shaped molecular structure. tRNAs have two regions of fundamental functional importance: the anti-codon, which is responsible for specific mRNA codon recognition, and the 3' end, to which the tRNAs corresponding amino acid is attached (by aminoacyl-tRNA synthetases). tRNAs cope with the degeneracy of the genetic code in two manners: having more than one tRNA (with a specific anti-codon) for a particular amino acid; and 'wobble' base-pairing, i.e. permitting non-standard base-pairing at the 3rd anti-codon position. The record is from Rfam.